Eriocheir sinensis (Chinese mitten crab) is the source of this 471-nucleotide long non-coding RNA. RefSeq lists it as uncharacterized. NCBI's taxonomy places the organism in Eukaryota, Metazoa, Arthropoda, Malacostraca, Decapoda, Varunidae. The record is from RefSeq and is a predicted model, not a curated record. The transcript is spliced from 3 exons.
CACAAAUUUGGCCCGUUGCUGGUACACGGUAAAGCCACAAAUUUGCCCCAUCGCUGGUACACGGUAAAGCCACAAAUUUGGCCCGUCGCUGGUACACAGUAAAGCCACAAAUUUGGCCUGUCGCUGGUACACAGUAAAGCCACAAAUUUGGCCCGUCGCUGGUACACAGUAAAGCCACAAAUUUGGCCCGUCGCUGGUACACAGUAAAGCCACAAAUUUGGCCCGUCGCUGGUACACAGUAAAGCCACAAAUUUGGCCCGUCGCUGGUACACGGUAAAGCCACAAAUUUGGCCCAUCGCUGCUACCGGGUUAAAUGUCUCUAGCUCCCACUACGACCAUUUCCGGAGGCCACAGAGAUGGUCAGCCUGGCUCUCAUAGGUGUUCUUCCCAUUCAAGGUGCAGGGGUUGUGUAAAACUAUCACUAGGAUCACGAAACUCUCCAUGAAAGUCCCAGCAACUUCCAUUAGAGGC